RNAcentral lists this long non-coding RNA (109 nucleotides) under Calidris pugnax (ruff). RNAcentral's name for it is "lncRNA (ENSCPUG00000012384.1)". Lineage: Eukaryota; Metazoa; Chordata; Aves; Charadriiformes; Scolopacidae. The record is from RNAcentral.
AAAUCUUGAAACUUGGGUCCUGGCUCUACUGAAAUCAUUGAAGUCUGCGUCUCACUUAGACAGAAAGAAGAUGGUGUUGUUUGCAGCCUCGUGUCCCAGAGAAGCCUGA